GACGAACGCUGGCGGCGUGCUUAAUACAUGCAAGUCGAGCGGAAAGGCCCUGCUUUUGUUGGGUGCUCGAGUGGCGAACGGGUGAGUAACACGUGAGUAACCUGCCCUUGACUUUGGGAUAACUCCAGGAAACUGGGGCUAAUACCGGAUAGGAUCUCCUGCUGCAUGUGGGGGGUUGGAAAGUUUCGGCGGUUGGGGAUCGACUCGCAGGUUAUCAGCUUGUUUGUGGGGUAGGUGCUUACCAGGGCUUUGACGGAUAGGCGGCAUGAGAGGGGGGACGGCCACCAUGCGACUGAGGUACGCAGCAGUAUGCUAUCGGAGGCAGUAGUCGGAAAUCUGGCGGAACGGGGGGGAGUCUGAGACAGAAACGCUGGGUGCGUGAUAACGGGCUACGGGUUGAAAACAGAUUUCGAAUGUGCUGAAGAGUGAGUGACGGUAAUUGGUAAGGAAGCAACGGCUAACUACGUG
RNAcentral lists this ribosomal RNA (468 nucleotides) under uncultured bacterium. RNAcentral's name for it is "partial 16S ribosomal RNA". It matches the Rfam family "Bacterial small subunit ribosomal RNA", at positions 28 to 507 of the family's 1533-position model. The record is from RNAcentral.